Molecule: transfer RNA, 69 nt
Filed under: Acanthopsyche nigraplaga
Lineage: Eukaryota; Metazoa; Arthropoda; Insecta; Lepidoptera; Psychidae
Description: tRNA-Arg
Source: RNAcentral
AAAUAAGAAGCAAAAAUUUGCAUUUAAUUUCGACUUAAAUCUUUGAGUUAAUUAAUUACUCCUUAUUUA